GAUGAACGCUGGCGGCGUGCCUAAUACAUGCAAGUCGAGCGAACAGACGAGGAGCUUGCUCCUUUGACGUUAGCGGCGGACGGGUGAGUAACACGUGGAUAACCUACCUAUAAGACUGGGAUAACUUCGGGAAACCGGAGCUAAUACCGGAUAACAUGUUGAACCGCAUGGUUCAACAGUGAAAGACGGUCUUGCUGUCACUUAUAGAUGGAUCCGCGCCGCAUUAGCUAGUUGGUAAGGUAACGGCUUACCAAGGCAACGAUGCGUAGCCGACCUGAGAGGGUGAUCGGCCACACUGGAACUGAGACACGGUCAAGACGCCUAAGGGAGGCAGCAGUAGGGAAUCUUCCGCAAUGGGCGAAAGCCUGACGGAGCAACGCCGCGUGAGUGAAGAAGGUCUUCGGAUCGUAAAACUCUGUUAUUAGGGAAGAACAAAUGUGUAAGUAACUAUGCACGUCUUGACGGUACCUAAUCAGAAAGCCACGGCUAACUACGUG
Molecule: ribosomal RNA, 497 nt
Filed under: uncultured bacterium
Lineage: Bacteria
Description: partial 16S ribosomal RNA
Rfam family: Bacterial small subunit ribosomal RNA
Source: RNAcentral